GCACGUGUAGCUCAGCGGUAGAGCAUCCGACCGAUAAUCGGGGGGUCGCUGGUUCAAAUCCAGCCGUGUGCACCA
Molecule: transfer RNA, 75 nt
Filed under: Pseudomonas sp. FeN3W
Lineage: Bacteria; Pseudomonadati; Pseudomonadota; Gammaproteobacteria; Pseudomonadales; Pseudomonadaceae
Description: tRNA-Ile
Rfam family: tRNA
About the family: Transfer RNA (tRNA) molecules are approximately 80 nucleotides in length. Their secondary structure includes four short double-helical elements and three loops (D, anti-codon, and T loops).
Source: RNAcentral